This 500-nucleotide ribosomal RNA is filed under the name uncultured bacterium. Its description in RNAcentral is "partial 16S ribosomal RNA". It matches the Rfam family "Bacterial small subunit ribosomal RNA", at positions 30 to 523 of the family's 1533-position model. The record is from RNAcentral.
AUUGAACGCUGGCGGAAUGCUUCACACAUGCAAGUCGAACGGCAGCACGGACUUCGGUCUGGUGGCGAGUGGCGAACGGGUGAGUAAUGUAUCGGAACGUGCCCAGCCGUGGGGGAUAACGUAGUGAAAAUUACGCUAAUACCGCAUACGAUCUAUGGAUGAAAGCGGGGGAUCGCAAGACCUCGCGCGAUUUGAGCGGCCGAUAUCAGAUUAGGUAGUUGGUGGGGUAAAGGCCCACCAAGCCAACGAUCUGUAGCUGGUCUGAGAGGACGACCAGCCACACUGGAACUGAGACACGGUCCAGACUCCUACGGGAGGCAGCAGUGGGGAAUUUUGGACAAUGAGCGAAAGCCUGAUCCAGCCAUUCCGCGUGCAGGAUGAAGGCCCUCGGGUUGUAAACUGCCUUUGUACAGAACGAAAAGGUUUCUACUAAUACUAGGAGCUCAUGACGGUACUGUAAGAAUAAGCACCGGCUAACUACGUGCCAGCCGCCGCUGUAA